UGACCAUCACCCAAGGCGGACGCACUAAGACUGGUUGGAGUAAUGCUCUCACAAAACGCACUGCCCAGCAUGCCCAUCGCGCUUGUACAUGUUGUCGUACUGCUAAUGCCCCAAAACCGCCCAAAGUUGGAUGGCCAUAUAACAAAUAUUUAGGAACCCCGGUGAGUCGUCUUUCUUGUGCGACCGGUCCGAGGUUCCUAUCAAUAAGUUUGGCCGCUUUAGCCUCAAUAUUCAUGAGUUGAGCUUCUGGGGGAAACCCCCCGUGUUCCAUAUGCCACGUAGAACGAUGC
Molecule: long non-coding RNA, 290 nt
Filed under: Volvox carteri
Lineage: Eukaryota; Viridiplantae; Chlorophyta; Chlorophyceae; Chlamydomonadales; Volvocaceae
Description: long non-coding RNA (VCAR_LNC004149)
Source: RNAcentral